Molecule: ribosomal RNA, 112 nt
Filed under: Caerostris darwini
Lineage: Eukaryota; Metazoa; Arthropoda; Arachnida; Araneae; Araneidae
Source: RNAcentral
AACGGCCGUACCAUGCUGAAUAUACCGGUUCUCGUUAGAUCACCGAAGUCAAGCAUCAUUGGGCGCGGUCAGUACUUGGGUGGGUGACCACCUGGGAACAUUGCGUGCCGUU